Molecule: ribosomal RNA, 253 nt
Filed under: uncultured bacterium
Lineage: Bacteria
Description: partial 16S ribosomal RNA
Rfam family: Bacterial small subunit ribosomal RNA
Source: RNAcentral
UACGUAGGUGGCAAGCGUUGUCCGGAUUUACUGGGCGUAAAGCGCCCGCAGGCGGCUUGUUAAGUUCAAGGUGAAAUCUCCCGGCUUAACUGGGAGGGUGCCUCGAAAACUGGCAGGCUUGAGGUGAGGAGAGGGAUGCGGAAUUCCAGGUGUAGCGGUGAAAUGCGUAGAUAUCGGAAGGAACACCAGUGGCGAAAGCGGCUCCCUGGUCCAGCACCGACGUCAGGCACGAAAGCGUGGGGAGCAAACAGGG